CGUACAAUCCUACUUGGAUAACUGUGGUAAUUCUAGAGCUAAUACAUGCGACAAAGCUCCGACCCCCGUGGGAAAGAGCGCGUUUAUUAGAUCAAAACCAAUCGGGUCCUCGCGGCCCGUACUGUUGAUGACUCUGGAUAACUUCGAGCUGAUCGCACGGCCUCGCGCCGGCGACGUAUCUUUCAAGUGUGUGCCCUAUCAACUUUCGACGGUACGUGAUAUGCCUACCAUGGUAUUUACGGGUAACGGGGAAUCAGGGUUCGAUUCCGGAGAGGGRGCAUGAGAAACGGCUACCACAUCCAAGGAAGGCAGCAGGCGCGCAAAUUACCCAAUCCCGAAACGGGGAGGUAGUGACGAAAAAUAACGAUACGGGACUCUUUCGAGGCCCCGUAAUCGGAAUGAGUACACUUUAAAUCCUUUAACGAGGAUCAAUUGGAGGGCAAGUCUGGUGCCAGCAGCCGCGGUAAUUCCAGCUCCAAUAGCGUAUAUUAAAGUUGUUGCAGUUAAAAAGCUCGUAGUUGGAUCUCGGGUCGUGCCGAGUGGUUCGCUUCGCGGCGACACCGCGCGGUGCGGCCUACUAGCCGGUCUUCGCUUGGUGCUCUUCGCUGAGUGCCUUGCGCGGCCGGAAUGUUUACUUUGAAAAAAUUAGAGUGCUCAAAGCAGGCGCCUCGCCUGAAUAAUAGUGCAUGGAAUAAUGGAAUAGGACCUCGGUUCUAUUUUGUUGGUUUUCGGAACUCGAGGUAAUGAUUAAGAGGGACAGACGGGGGCAUUCGUAUUACGGUGUCAGAGGUGAAAUUCUUGGAUCGCCGUAAGACGAACUACUGCCAAAGCAUUUGCCAAGUUUGUUUUCAUUAAUMAAAAACGAAAGUGAGAGGUUCGAAGACGAUCAGAUACCGUCGUAGUUCUGACACUAAACGAUGUCGACUGGCGAUCCGCGGGCUUCUAUUCUMUGACCCCGAGGGCAGCCUUAGGCAAASCAAAGKCUAUGGGUUSCRGGGRAAGUAUGRAWGCAAARMUKAAAMUGAAUGGAAKUGACGGMAGSACCCCAMCUGGAGCGKAGGCUKUGGUUUAACUCAACUCGGGAARRCAMACCCGGCCCGGACACGGUAAGGAWUGGCAGGUURRGAGGUCUUUCUUUUUUCGGUUGGGGGGGGGGCRGGGCCGGUCCKUGUUGGUGGAGCGAUUYGUCUUGUUAAUUCCGAUAACGAACGAGACUCUAGCCUGCUAAAUAGUUCGCCGAUGGCACUCUGCCGGCGCCAACUUCUUAGAGGGACAAGUGGCUUUCAGUCACACGAGAUUGAGCAAUAACAGGUCUGUGAUGCCCUUAGAUGUUCGGGGCCGCACGCGCGCUACACUGAAGGAGUCAGCGUGUCUGCUUCCUGAUCCGAAAGGACCGGGCAACCCGAUGAACGUCCUUCGUGCUAGGGAUUGGGGCUUGUAAUUCUUCCCCAUGAACGAGGAAUUCCCAGUAAGCGCGAGUCAUAAGCUCGCGUUGAUUACGUCCCUGCCCUUUGUACACACCGCCCGUCGCUACURCCGAUUGGAUGGUUUAGUGAGAUCCUCGGCUUGGACCCGGCGCGGAGGGCGAC
This 1589-nucleotide ribosomal RNA is filed under the name Delaya bureschi. RNAcentral's name for it is "SSU rRNA". It matches the Rfam family "Eukaryotic small subunit ribosomal RNA", at positions 127 to 1754 of the family's 1831-position model. The record is from RNAcentral. Lineage: Eukaryota; Metazoa; Annelida; Clitellata; Haplotaxida; Haplotaxidae.